GAUGAACGCUGGCGGCGUGCCUAAUACAUGCAAGUCGUACGGAAAGGCCCUUCGGGGUACUCGAGUGGCGGACGGCUGAGUAACGCGUGGGAACGUGCCCCAAAGUGAGGGAUAACGCACCGAAAGGUGUGCUAAUACCGCAUAUGGUCUUCGGAUUAAAGCUUCGGCGCUUUGGGAGCGGCCUGCGUACGAUUAGAUAGUUGGUGAGGUAAUGGCUGACCAAGUCGACGAUCGUUAGCUGGUCUGAGAGGAUGAUCAGCCAGACUGGGACUGAGACACGGCCCAGACUCCUACGGGAGGCAGCAGUAAGGAAUCUUCCACAAUGGGGGCAACCCUGAUGGAGCAACGCCGCGCGCAGGAUGAAGGUUUUCGGAUCGUAAACUGCUUUUAUAAGUGAAGAAUAUGACGGUAACUUAUGAAUAAGGAUCGGCUAACUACGUGCCAGCCGCCGCGGUAA
This 457-nucleotide ribosomal RNA is filed under the name uncultured bacterium. Its description in RNAcentral is "partial 16S ribosomal RNA". It matches the Rfam family "Bacterial small subunit ribosomal RNA", at positions 28 to 523 of the family's 1533-position model. The record is from RNAcentral.